Molecule: long non-coding RNA, 532 nt
Filed under: Homo sapiens (human)
Lineage: Eukaryota; Metazoa; Chordata; Mammalia; Primates; Hominidae
Description: lncAB240.1
Source: RNAcentral
AGGCUCUCUAGGAAUCUGGGAGUAGUAGCUGGGGGGCAAGAGCAAAUAAAGAGCUCGAGCUUCUGUGGUCUCUGGGGAGAUGUUCCCGGGAAGCCUGUCUAGAGGGCGGAGGGCAGCUGUUGAGAUGGCGUGGCUCCCCGGCUCCUGCGCCCGCGUGGCUUUCGCGGCGGGCGCUGCGGCCCGGGCCACAUCUGCCAGAGCCUGGAGUCUGCGAAGGCCGGGACCCGGUUCCCCGGCCCACAGUGGGGGUGUGCAAACCCGAGAGAACUGGGUUGCAAAUUCGUGAAGAAUCAGCAUCAUGUUUGGCAGCUGAGUAUUGGAGCCAGGAGCCUGCCAUGAGGUUUUGAGAACAGAGUGCUGUUUUAGAGCUGGCAGCAGCAUCUCAGCCCAAGAGAAGGUUAUAUUCCCAGAGGAUGUCAGUCCCAAGGACCAGUAGCUGCCAUCAGUUUGGAUUCUGAAAACUAACUGGCAUCAACACUGGGUGUAGAAACAUGCUUGCCUUAUGUAUCAGAGGACAUGCUCAGCAGAUCCA